Sapajus apella (tufted capuchin) is the source of this 3208-nucleotide long non-coding RNA. RefSeq lists it as uncharacterized. NCBI's taxonomy places the organism in Eukaryota, Metazoa, Chordata, Mammalia, Primates, Cebidae. The transcript is spliced from 2 exons. The record is from RefSeq and is a predicted model, not a curated record.
CUCCCAAAGUGCUGGGAUUACAGGUGUGAGCCACUGCAUCCUGGCUCCACAUUUUUUAAAAUUUAUCUGAUCCAAUUACUUCUGUCAUGUAAUUUUCAUUUACAAGUAAUGACAUGAGCUUUCUCUUUGGGAAAUCUAAAAGCAUAGGCGGCUUCUGUCAGCUUGAUGCAGUGUCCUCACUGCCCCAUUUUUCUUUGGGCUGCUAAAGGGUACACAGACUAUGUACUAAUUGGUAAAUGUUUUAAAAACAAAGCACAGAAUUAAGAAUUGCCCUGAAUCUGUCCUCAAGGACUGAUACAAAACCUUGUUUUCAUCCUUCCAAGCUUUCUUAACUGCUUCCUAAAGUUCUUUCCUGGAAUGGGUGCCCUUGGAAUUGUUCUGAGGCUCCUAAUAGAGAUUUAUUUUGGAAUCAAACACAUAGAUGCCUCCUCUGGGAUCUACCUAAGAUAAAUUAGUGAGCACUUUUCAUUUUAUGAAUUAAGUUUAGUUUCUUAUUCCUUUUAUACGUUUGGGAUUGACUGUAAAAUUACAGCAUAUUUUGAAAAGAACCAGAGAAAAGGAGGCUUUAUAUAGUUUUAUUGUUUAAGAGUGGCUCUAACUUUAAACAGAGUGCUUUUCUGUGCAGAAAUUAGCUUUAUUGAAUUUUUUUAGAAAAACUCAUCACAAAAUAACUAUAAGAUAGCAAUAAUUACAUGUAAAACAGUGUUUAAUCAAAUUGUUCCAAAACAAAAAGCAACUCUUUACCAUAUCUUAUUUUGUAUAAUAAGGCUGUCACCCAGGGUUAUAGAAUACACCCAUUUGAAAACAUAAGUAAACAGUGUUCCACUGCCAUGCUCACGCCCUCCUUAUUUGCCAGUAUUCUUCUUUUUCCAGCUUGCCUUUAGAGCGGAAUUACUGUAUAGUAGUUUUUUCUUUGUUGUUGACCUUAUUUUUUCCUUUUUUCUUCUUUUACCUUCAUAUUCUAGAUUUGUCUUACCUAGAUUAUAGAAUGAUUAUACAUCAUAUUCAUGUACACGCAUGCAUACAUAUAUAUUUUAAUUAUUUCAUGUGAAUUUUAGUCUUUUUACUUCCUAAUCUUUUGUAAAAACAUAGAAUCACCUGUAUCUAAGUUUCUUUGAUUAACUGAAACAGAGAUAGACUAGCCUUUUGAAAAUGUACUGUUAAGAUAUAUGAUGGAAAAUGGUACUCCUGCCAAAAAAUUAAUUUAUUCAAAUAGAAUCUAGAAAAUUAUUAUAUGAGUUAAUAUAGCUUUAUUAAUUCUCCAGAUUUCACUGGUAAUGACAGAUUAUUAAUGUAAAUAAUAAUGCAUAGAGUGACCUUAUAUCCUGGCUUAUCUAGGAUAGCUCCAAUUUAUACCUAUUAUCUUAGCAUAAUUAUUAAUAAAUGACCCCUUUCUCCUUCAGAGUGUACCAGUUUGAAUGAUAAACUUGUUUAUUCUCCUUAUAUAUCCUUUGGGUAUCAGCUUAAAAAGCACUCUUUCAAAAGGAAAAUAUGAUGCUUAAUGAAAAGUAUAAAGAAAAAAAUACAUAGUUUAUUAAAGAGAAAUGUUCACUACUGAUUCUCAUGUAUACUUCUAGUCUAUUUUCUCAUAUAGAAUCUUAAAACAUAACCUAAAAUGGUCGCCUAGUUCAACCCCCUGUAUUCUUGACCUUGCAUUCUCUGCUAGAAAUUUUCAGUGAUUAAGAACUUGUUGUUUUCAAAAUAUUCCUUUGUGGAUCAGACUUUCUACCAUCGUAUUCACCAUCAUUUAGCCACAUAGUAAUUUUUGGUGAUAAUUAUCAAGCUUAUCAAAUAAAUACACAGAUUGUAACAUUUACAUUUUCUAUAAAUUUUUGCCAGAAUACUUUGGUAUAUCGUCUCUUGAAGGGGUAUAUAUUGAAAUGUUGAAUAUGUUGAAGCUGUUCACCUCUUCAGAUAGUGCUAAUUAUUAAGUCCACUAAAAGACUACAAACAUUAUACAGCCCAGCAAUAAGUAUUGAGAUUUCUGGCAAUUUUUUUUCUUUUUUUUAAAUUGAUAGAUAUUAGAUGUACAUAUUUUCAGGUAUAUGUGAUAAUCUAAUACAUUCAUAUAAUUACAGUAAUUGGAAUAGCCAUCGCCUUAAAAAUUUAUCUUUAGGAACAUUCUAGUUACUCUAGCAAAUAUCUACUUACCAUGUUCUCAUUAAUUCUCUGGUGGAUUUCUGGAAUAAUAGAGAUCUAGGUUUAGGUUAGGCUUAAGUUUAGGCUGUAGUUAGAGGAGAGUUAAAACUUCUAUUUCCAUUCCUUAGACACAAGUAAUUUGCUGUAAUGUUUUGCCUAUUACCAUGGUCUUUAAUUUCAUGCAAAGGGAAAUUAUUUAUUUCUUUUAAAACAUUAUGAAAUUACUUUUUUGGAAGUCACACUAAGUAGGCCUUUGUGACUUUCAGUAAAACUUGGUAGGUAAUGUGGAAGUGAAAUGGUUUUUUUAAUCAUAUUUAAAACUGAAUUAACAGUGCAUGUGUUUCUGAGGGGCUUAUUUUUUUUUUCUUUGGUUACCAUUUGAUGGGCUUUAUUUUUAUUUUUAUUUUUUAUUUAUUUUUUAAUUUCUGUGUUCUGGCCAUACCCAGGAGAUCCGUCUGCUUUUGAUUUCUCCCUUAAAAGUUACAUGGUAAAUUUUCUUUCUCAUUCUUCUGAGAUCGAAAAAUUUAAAAAUUAUACAAAUUUUAAUAAUAUUUUUACAAUGUUCAUUCUAUUGCUUGUUAUUUACUGCAGUCUGAGGCCAGACUAAAAAGGUGACAGUUACUUGGCUCCUAUAUAUCCUCAAUGAUAAAUGGAUGUCAAGGUAGGCUAUGAAAUUGCUGUCACAUUUUGUAGAAGUUUUAACUAAAACCGUACUACACCUCAUAAAUAUACCAUUUUUCAAAUCCAGAAGUCAGCUAAGAUACCUGGCAAAUCAUUAAUGUAACACUGGUGUGUUUAAAAGUUUAAUAUAGAAGGACUUUGAGGACUGAGAACUUGGAGGAGUAUAAAGUAUAGAGAUCUGCAUUGCCCAGUACAGUGGUCACAUUUAGCACUUGAAAUGUGGAGAGUUUAAACUGAGGUGUGCCUGUAAGGGUAAAAAUGGACACCAGACUUCAGAAUUAGCACAAAAAAAGAAUAUUAAGCAUCUCACUAAUAAUGUUUUAGUAGUGAUACCAUAUUGAAAUGUUAAUAUGUGUACAUAUUGAAUUAAAUACAUUGUCAAAAUUAA